GGGCCCGCACAAGCGGUGGAGUAUGUGGUUUAAUUCGAUGCAACGCGAAGAACCUUACCAGGGUUUGACAUCCUGCGAAUCUCUUGGAAACGAGAGAGUGCCUUCGGGAACGCAGUGACAGGUGGUGCAUGGCUGUCGUCAGCUCGUGUCGUGAGAUGUUGGGUUAAGUCCCGCAACGAGCGCAACCCACGUCUUUAGUUGCCAGCAUUUAGUUGGGCACUCUAGAGAGACCGCCGGUGAUAAACCGGAGGAAGGUGUGGAUGACGUCAAGUCAUCAUGCCCCUUACAUCCUGGGCUACACACGUACUACAAUGGGUAAGACAAUAAGUCGCGAGCCUGUGAAGGUCAGCAAAUCUAUAAACUUACUCUAAGUUCGGAUUGUAGGCUGUAACUCGCCUACAUGAAGUUGGAAUC
Molecule: ribosomal RNA, 414 nt
Filed under: uncultured bacterium
Lineage: Bacteria
Description: bacterial SSU rRNA
Rfam family: Bacterial small subunit ribosomal RNA
Source: RNAcentral